GGGUGCGAUCAUACCAGCGUUAAUGCACUGGAUCCCAUCAAAACUUCGUAGUUAAGCACACUUGGGCUAGAGUAGUAUUGGGAUGGGUGACCUCCCUGGAAAUCCUAUUGUUGCACCCU
Molecule: non-coding RNA, 119 nt
Organism: Picea glauca (white spruce)
Lineage: Eukaryota; Viridiplantae; Streptophyta; Pinopsida; Pinales; Pinaceae
Source: Rfam